RNAcentral lists this long non-coding RNA (2180 nucleotides) under Suricata suricatta (meerkat). RNAcentral describes it as "lncRNA (ENSSSUG00005008083.1)". Lineage: Eukaryota; Metazoa; Chordata; Mammalia; Carnivora; Herpestidae. The record is from RNAcentral.
CCUGCAGUAGCUCUCCCUGUCCCCCCCUUCCCUCCUGCCAGCCUUCUCCCCUCCAGCCACCCUGACCUUUUUCCUUCUCAGAUACACCAAGUUGUUCAUUCCUCAAAGCUGUUUUCUUCCAGACCACAGUUCACUGAUAUUCAACCUAAAUGUUCCCUCCUACAGAAAGCCUCCCCAAUAGGACUACGUAGCGGCCUCCUACCAUUCCACAUCCCAGUCUGAGGCUGUAAGGAGAGGUUAAGUGGGGCAAAUUCUGGAGAAAUGGCUUAGAAAAAGGAAAUAUCCUGAUCAGAUUAGAGUUCUUAAAACGACAUAGAAUGAACUCAAGGAAGACGGGAAAGAAGCGGCCUCUCUCCUUUCAGGAGGACAGCGCUCCUACCCAAAGAGGGAAGACCAACGACUAGAGGUGGGGAUGGGGAAGACGGCAGCGGUGACUCUCGGAGCGCGCUCCCACCAGCGACGGGAGGGGGUUCCCGGAAGGCGCCGCAUCCCAGGCCCUGGCGGCAAUUUCAGCAGGGACUUCCGUGACUCCGCAGCGCCCCCACCCCCACCCCCGCGGGAGGCCGGCACCUGGCGUGGCGAGCGCCAGGCUGGCGGCGCACUCGCAGCUCUCGCGGCGCACGGCGGCGAAGGGGUCCAGCAGCGUGCAGCGCAGCACCCGCACGGCGUCGUCCAGGGGAGACCGGCGCUUUCACGACGGCCGCCGCGCGGAUUACGGCUUCCCUUCCGGUUGGCUGCGAAUGCAACUUUAUUGGCAGCUCUAGGCCGGGGCGGGCCGGAAACACCUCGGCUCCCUGCGCGCACAGGGCUCAGCGUUUUCGAUAGGAAGCGAAACUGGCCGGAGGAGCGAAUGGCGAAGGGAGUUGAUGUGGACAGGUUCCUGGAGUGGGCGCCUGUGAGGUCUACGGCCCAACCCAGAACUGCCUGCAGGCUGUCGAGCCCGUGAUGUUGCUGCCUCCGUGUCCAUGUGGUGUAGCCAGGCCCCCUGCAGGGUCUCUGGACUAGCACCAGCUCCUCCCAUGCACUUGUAUCCUAGACUUCCUGCAGAAUCACAGUGAGUGAAAGUUUCUGGUGUCACUCCCCUACAACCUUUGUGCUCAACACGUCCCCGAUACCCAGGGAGCCUCCACAAAGUUGACCAAAGCCCUGUUCUUUUUGGCUCGAAUGGACCCGAUCCGGCUUUAGUCCAGAACCUCCAAAGCAUUCCAUCCACAGACCCUUUCUCCGCCUGCACCCUGCCUCAACCUGCCCACGUGCCGUGCAGUGCACCCCCAGGACCUGCGAGUCAUAAGCUCCUCUAUUCCACCUUCCCUCAGGUUCUACCUAACAAACGUGAAUUUAACAAAGUCACAGUACAGGUGAGAAAAGUGCAGGGAACGCCACCACUUUCUGGUCACAGGACUGGGAAAGGGAAGGCCUAGCGGAGGCUAGUGGGGAGCCACACCCCCACUCCACACUGUGCCACAGCACUGGCAUCAGAGCCCCACAGGCCCACCAGUUCCUGUGGUGCUGGGGCAGGCUCCUCUGCAGGGGCGGAGUCAGUGCAGCCCAGGGUCUUCCCACCGACCCCCUGGUGGUACGAGGAGACCCAGGACCAGCAGGUGCUGCCCUGCCCCCUCCAACAGCCACGGCAGUGCCAGAGGGACAAGCAGACCAUGAGUACAUGGCCAGGGCUGGGAAAUGAAACUGGCACCACAGUCCACAAAGGUAGGCUGGAAUGUCCAUGCCAGACCGAAGCAGGGCAACUUCCUGUUACAGCUGUGGGUUUCAGUGAUGUCAGUGAGCACAAGGCUCAGGAUACGCUCCCAGAUCACUGGUGCUGUCAGGAGCCAGGAAAACCACUGUUUGAAGGAACAAUUAACCGAUAAUUAAUUGAUAUAAAUGCCAAGAUGAAUCAGGUGUUGUGUGGAGAGCUGCCAGGAGAGCUGCCAGGGGAAGAGAUGUGUGCCCUGACCUAAGAUCAGCCACCUGCAGGGCUGGACAGUGUUAUCACUCCCAGCUCAAGGCCAGAGACAGCUUGGCUGGACUUUCUUAUCAGCUCCUCAGACGCUGUGCUAAAACUGCGGCUUUUGUUUUUUCUUUACCCUAGCCCCUUCACGUGACCCUGUUUCUUAGCAACUGACCUGUGCUUUCUGCUCUUUAUAAGAUGCUUGUGUUUUCUCAAUAAACUGAGGCUUGAU